CGUAUUCGUCCCCCUCAGGCCUAUCGAGCUCCUCUAUCUCAGUGGUAUGCUGCACUGUGUACCCCCAGAGGGCCUGGUAGCGCUUCCUCCAGCCAAAUCUCCUUCCAUAACUGUCUCUCAAGCUCUGUUACCCACUCGUCCAGGGGCUGCUAUCCCAGGAAAGACAUUUGCAGAGCCACUUGCCUCUGGAUCUGCUGCUCUUCACUGGGGAGCUUCUCACCUCGCUGACACUGCACAUCCUCCAGGGCUUCAUCCCAAAGUUCCUUUCUGGCGGCUUCCCGGUAGUCCAUCAUGUCCUCUUCUGAUAUAGGCCCAUCCUGCAGGGACAGAAGCUACUGCAAUCUCCAGUGGAACUCCUG
This is a non-coding RNA of Pelobates cultripes (western spadefoot toad), 359 nucleotides long. The record is from the annotation of a GenBank genome assembly. Lineage: Eukaryota; Metazoa; Chordata; Amphibia; Anura; Pelobatidae.